Molecule: ribosomal RNA, 41 nt
Filed under: uncultured Cortinarius
Lineage: Eukaryota; Fungi; Basidiomycota; Agaricomycetes; Agaricales; Cortinariaceae
Description: partial 18S ribosomal RNA
Source: RNAcentral
AUAAGGUAGCAUGCUGUCGGUGACCUGCGGCAGGAUCAUUA